Homo sapiens (human) is the source of this 1653-nucleotide long non-coding RNA. The record is from Ensembl. Lineage: Eukaryota; Metazoa; Chordata; Mammalia; Primates; Hominidae.
ACCUCCGCCAUUCUUGUAGCACAGGGUCUUCUCUGGCCCAGCCUUUGACUGAAGCUGGUCUGGAGACAGGGGCGUUAGAGAAGUGACUCAUAGAUGGCCUAAAUAAGCGGGGCCACUCAAGGACCCAGGACAGGGGGAAGAGGGCCAACCCAUCUGGACCGCAGGCAAACCCCAUGGCCUUUGAGAGAAGAGAGAAGAGGACCCGGUGAAGUAGGCUCCGAGGGCCUCAGCCCAGCAGGAGCGCAGGGAGCUGCACCAGGAACUCACAGAGGAUCAGGGAGAAUUCUGAGAACAUGCUACUGUGGUGCUGCCUAGAGAGGAAGGAUAAAUGAUGACAAGUACAUCUCUGAGUAACGUAUGGGCACUUGUUCAUGAAAACUGUUUUUCUGAAAGCUUGUGAAGGUCUUGAAAUACUCGCUAUCAGUUGAGGACAAACAUUUACACCCUCCUUCCACAGGGAGUUCAAGCAGGCUGGAUGGGUCCAUCUAUGGAUGAUCUUCCCCAGCCCCUUCCUCUUCCCAGCUCAUCCCUGGCUCUCUGUGUGAACAGGUCUCAUCAGUGGAAUGUGGUUGAUGAAGUGAGGUCUUCAAUUUUCUCAUCUACUGUGUGGUCAUGUUAUUUUCCUCAUCUGAGGCUUAAAAACUCACCUGCAUGCAGCACAUGACAGCUUAAAAUCUCUUGUGAACAAAACAGUAACAAAGACACCCACCAGCGUUGAGCAUCCCGUGUUGAUGACAGCGACCACCAGGGGUCAACGUCCUCUUCACAAUCCUGUGUCAGAGCAUCACUUGACUGAUUUCAUUAGCAACUUCCCAGGAGAAUCAGCUUACAAAAUACUUGUCCCAUUUUCCAUGCAGAUGUAACCCAUCUAUUUUACUGAAGAAAUGGGAAGAGCUGAAUGCUGAAUACACUGAAUGUCUGCAGGUUGUGCAAGUUUGUGACUUUAUCACUUUCUAAUUUCUGAUCUGUGUGGACCACUCUACAGAUUUUUCUCACUGGUGUGAUCAGCCUUCUGGAUGUCAAAUAUAAUAGACUUUCAAUAAUAUAAAAGUCAACACAAGCUCCUCAUGGUUUCAGUGCUCAGUGAUGACUCUAAACUUACACAAUGUGUUUCUUUAUUAGUUUUGUUUUCUGGUAUCUCUACUCGGCAUCUUCACCACACCCAUUUUAUGUUUCUUAUACAGGCUUUCUUCUAUGAAAUGCUAUGUCAUGAAUAUGCAAAUAACCUGAGAUCCACUGAGGUAAAUUUGGAUGUCUGUGCCCUGAGAGCAUCACCCAACAACCACAUCCCUCCUCUAUAGAAGCCCCUGAGAACACAGCUCCUCACCAUGGACUGUACCUGGGGGAUCCACUUCUUGGUGGCAGCUGCCACAGGUGUCCAUUCCCAGGUUCAGCUGUUGCAGCCUGGGGCUGAGGUGAAGAAGCCUGGGUCCUCAGUGAAGGUCUCCUGCCAGGCUUCCAGAUACACCUUCACCAAAUACUUUACACGGCCACAAUCAACUUAUGAGUGUUUAAACUUCACCUACUUGAUUGGAGGACUAUUCACCUCAGAUAUUUGGAAUACUUCUGUAAGGAGAUGUGUUCGUCUUCCCAAUAUUUAUUUUCAUAAUCAUCUAUUAAUAUGUGUAUUGGUUUAUGAAUAUAUAUUUCAUA